CCUACGGGAGGCAGCAGUGAGGAAUAUUGGUCAAUGGACGCAAGUCUGAACCAGCCAUGCCGCGUGCAGGAUGACGGCCCUAUGGGUUGUAAACUGCUUUUUUACGGGAAGAAAACCAGCUACGUGUAGUUGUUUGCCGGUACCGUAGGAUAAGCAUCGGCUAACUCCGUGCCAGCAGCCGCGGUAAUACGGAGGAUGCAAGCGUUAUCCGGAUUUAUUGGGUUUAAAGGGUGCGUAGGUCGGAAUAGUAAGUCAGGGGUGAAAUACUGCAGCUCAACUGUAGAAUUGCCUUUGAUACUGUUAUUCUUGAGUAUAGAUGAGGUAGGCGGAAUGUGGUGUGUAGCGGUGAAUGCAUAGAUAUGCUACAGAACACCAAUAGCGAAGGCAGCUCACUAAGUUGUAACUGACACUAAUGCAGGAAAGCGUGGGGAUCAAACAGGAUUAGAUACCCCUGGUAGUCCACGCCGUAAACGAUGAUUACUGGUUGUUUGCGAUACAUUGCAAGUGACUGAGCGAAAGCAUUAAGUAAUCCACCUGGGGAGUACGUCGGAAGGUUGAAACUCAAAGGAAUUGACGG
Molecule: ribosomal RNA, 577 nt
Filed under: Natronoflexus pectinivorans
Lineage: Bacteria; Pseudomonadati; Bacteroidota; Bacteroidia; Marinilabiliales; Marinilabiliaceae
Description: bacterial SSU rRNA
Rfam family: Bacterial small subunit ribosomal RNA
Source: RNAcentral